Molecule: unclassified non-coding RNA, 366 nt
Filed under: Hevea brasiliensis (rubber tree)
Lineage: Eukaryota; Viridiplantae; Streptophyta; Magnoliopsida; Malpighiales; Euphorbiaceae
Source: RNAcentral
CGAUACCAUGGAGAGCACGUGGAAGAUGCUAACGGAUGGCCGUCCAAUGCCAUUGACCAGACACCUCAAGAAAACCGACACGUGGGACACUCACGUUCGUCGAGACGACGCCAUCUUACCUCUGCCGCUUCCGGAGAAGAUGAAGAAGUCGGAGACUUUUAGUGAAAACAAGUCGAAGCUGAGUCAUGAGAAUGGUCAGGGAUCGGGGAAACCGAAAAGAGAACCAUCGUUGAGUCAGGACGAGUUGAACCUCCGAGUGGAGGCGUUUAUAAAGAAGUUCAAUGAAGAAAUGAGGCUGCAGAGGCAAGAAUCGUUGAAUCAGUACCAGGAGAUGCUUAACAAGGGGAAUUAUUAGGAAUUUUGAUU